This 468-nucleotide ribosomal RNA is filed under the name uncultured bacterium. Its description in RNAcentral is "partial 16S ribosomal RNA". It matches the Rfam family "Bacterial small subunit ribosomal RNA", at positions 28 to 507 of the family's 1533-position model. The record is from RNAcentral.
GACGAACGCUGGCGGCGUGCUUAACACAUGCAAGUCGAACGGAAAGGCCCUGCUUUUGUGGGGUGCUCGAGUGGCGAACGGGUGAGUAACACGUGAGUAACCUGCCCUUGACUUUGGGAUAACUUCAGGAAACUGGGGCUAAUACCGGAUAGGAGCUCCUGCUGCAUGGUGGUGGUUGGAAAGUUUCGGCGGUUGUGGAUGGACUCGCGGCUUAUCAGCUUGUUGGUGGGGUAGUGGCUUACCAAGGGUUUGACGGAUAGGCUGCCUGAGAGGGUGGACAGGGACCAGAGGACUACGGGAGGGAGCAGUAGGGAACCGUAGGCAGUGGUCGGAAGUCUUACGGAGUGAGGGCGAGCGUGUGACGAAGGUGCUGGGAGCGUAAUAACGUCCUACGGGUGAAGAACCGAUGUCGCAUGAGACGUGGCGGGAGUGACGGUACUGAGUAAAGAAGCACCGGCUAACUACGUG